This 747-nucleotide ribosomal RNA is filed under the name uncultured cyanobacterium. RNAcentral describes it as "bacterial SSU rRNA". It matches the Rfam family "Bacterial small subunit ribosomal RNA", at positions 8 to 796 of the family's 1533-position model. Lineage: Bacteria; Bacillati; Cyanobacteriota. The record is from RNAcentral.
AGAGUUUGAUCAUGGCUCAGGAUGAACGCUGGCGGUAUGCGUAACACAUGCAAGUCGAACGAAGUUUUUCGGAACUUAGUGGCGGACGGGUGAGUAACGCGUGAGAAUCUGCCUUAAGGAUUGGGACAACAGUGGGAAACCGCUGCUAAUACCAAAUAUGCCUUUUAGUGAAACGGGUAAAACCGCCUUAAGAUGAGCUCGCGUCUGAUUAGCUAGUUGGUGUGGUAAGAGCGCACCAAGGCAACGAUCAGUAGCUGGUCUGAGAGGACGACCAGCCACACUGGGACUGAGACACGGCCCAGACUCCUACGGGAGGCAGCAGUGAGGAAUUUUCCGCAAUGGGCGAAAGCCUGACGGAGCAAUACCGCGUGAGGGAGGAAGGUUCUUGGAUUGUAAACCUCUUUUCUCAGAGAAGAAUAAUGACGGUAUCUGAGGAAUAAGCAUCGGCUAACUCCGUGCCAGCAGCCGCGGUAAUACGGAGGAUGCAAGCGUUAUCCGGAAUGAUUGGGCGUAAAGCGUCCGCAGGUGGCAAUGUAAGUCUGCUGUCAAAGCGUCUGGCUCAACCAGAUAAAGGCAGUGGAAACUACAUAGCUAGAGUAAGGUAGGGGUAGAGGGAAUUCCUGGUGUAGCGGUGAAAUGCGUAGAGAUCAGGAAGAACAUCGGUGGCGAAGGCGCUCUGCUGGACCAUAACUGACACUCAGGGACGAAAGCUAGGGGAGCGAAUGGGAUUAGAUACCCCAGUAGUCC